ACACUUUAAAACACACAAACUUCAAUUUACUAUUGCAGCAAUAGUGUGCUGCCGAUUUUACCCCCACCUUUCAACCUUAAUUACUGAAUUUGCCAUGAUGUUGGAUGAUGCCACGUGUUCCCAUCAUGUAUCUGCCUUAUUUGAUCAUCUUUGUUUCCCCUUUCUCUUUCCUCGACUCUGGCCUCUGGGAUCUUCUUCCUCUUCCAUUUUCAACAAACCCUAGCUCUCAUCUCUGCAAUCUCCUCCUCCCCCUUCACCUCUCUCCUUCCAUCAUCCUAGAUUUCCAGAUCGUCAAUCUCCGUUCUUCUUCAAGAGGAUGUUAGUUUAUGGUGAUCGAAGCCCACGUUCGAGGAUUUUGAGAAGAAGUCCAACUAUGGAACCAUUGAUACAUUUGAAGCUAUUCGUUCUCAUAUGACGAAUCUGUUGCUUCAUAAUUCGCCUCUUCAAUAACCGGCACCCAGGUUCACUCCUUCUGAAUCUCCUCACUAUCAGUUCCUCUCUUUCUCCCUGGUGCUAAUUAUGAAAAUUGUAAGCCAUCCCAACAUAGUCAAUCUUAUCGAGGUGAUUAAAUGAUCCAGACACAGAUCACUUCUAUAUGGUUCUUGAGUAUGUGGAGGGAAAAUGGGAUUGUGAGGGUGCUGGACCACCUGGUGGAUUAGGGGAAGCUAUCACGGGACAAUAUUUACGAGAUAUUGUUUCUGGGUUAAUGUAUCUUCAUUCACAUAAUAUAGUGCAUAUGGACAUAAAGCCUCAAAAUAUUUUGGUUUCGCGUAAUGGCACUGUAAAGAUUGCAGAUUUCAGUGUCAGCCAAGUUUUUGAGAUGCAACAAUUAUCAAUCUGGAGAUUUGAUCAAUUCAGAACGUGCUAUUGAUGGAUCUUUGGUUUUGGUCAACAGGACUUGUCCGUUGUAUCUCAAUUUUCUUCCAGGGGAAUAACACCUCAACCAUUUUCCCAUUUUUUGAAAGGAGGAGGAAAUGGUGGGGUUAUUCUGGUGCUUGUGAGAUUUUGGACCCAAGUAUUGCGUAUGGUCCACUUGUGCCAUCAUAGGAGGAGAGGAUGCUGCCAGUGUCAGAUACAUGUACACAAGGAUGGCUGAAAUCACUAGAGAACUACUAGGAAAGACACUGGAAUCACUUCACAGUUAGUGGAACUAUUUAGGUAGUGGAUGAAGACAGUGCAAAUGAUGCAAGUGAAGGGACGAUGUAACUCUCAGAAUCACUGAACUACCAGUUCGGAAGUGGACUCAAGAUUAUAAGGAGUUUUAAAGAGAGACAGAGAUCAAAUGAUGUAGCGAAAUUAAAUGAUGCGGCGAAUAUUCGGUGCUAAGGAGUUCUUUGAUUUUUUCAAAGAUGCUUCUGAUCAGGCAUUGAUGUACAUUUCUCUAUUUUCACCGAUCGUGGAGUCUAGGACUUCUAACAGUCUGUGCCUCUCAAUUUUGAGUUUCAUAAAAAGGCUAUGAUUCUUUUUAUUCUGUACUUAUUGUGCAACUCCUUUAACACCUAAGAAAACUUCAGAAAUAUUUUCAGCAGUAAUGUGUAAUGAACAUGCCUAAUAAAGAUGAUUUAGUUAUUUCACCAGGAUUAUGUGUGUUUAGUUUUUGCAGUCGUUUAGCCUCUAUAGGCAUAAGUCACACCUAGCGACAUUUAUGUUCAACUCUAAUAUGUAAUAUCAUGUUUGGGGUUAUCAGCUUUUCGCUGACAAGAGUCAUUAGCAAAGAGGAAAGCUGAUUAGAAAUUCUUAGCAUUGCUUCUAUUUCAUUAUUUAGCAGUAUGUGUUGGAAAUAUAAAUGUUGUCAUUGAGGAUACUCAACAUUGUG
Molecule: long non-coding RNA, 1816 nt
Organism: Spinacia oleracea (spinach)
Lineage: Eukaryota; Viridiplantae; Streptophyta; Magnoliopsida; Caryophyllales; Amaranthaceae
Exons: 7
Source: RefSeq, a predicted model, not a curated record